UGAGGAAUAUUGGUCAAUGGACGCAAGUCUGAACCAGCCAUGCCGCGUGAAGGAUGAAGGCCUUCUGGGUUGUAAACUUCUUUUAUUGGGGAAGAAAACUACGGUUUCUACUGUAGCCGACGGUACCCAAGGAAUAAGCACCGGCUAACUCCGUGCCAGCAGCCGCGGUAAUACGGAGGGUGCAAGCGUUAUCCGGAUUCACUGGGUUUAAAGGGUGUGUAGGCGGAUAUUUAAGUCAGAGGUGAAAUCUCCAGGCUCAACCUGGAAACUGCCUUUGAUACUAUUUAUCUUGAAUUUUGUUGAGGUAGGCGGAAUAUAUCAUGUAGCGGUGAAAUGCAUAGAUAUGAUAUAGAACACCGAUUGCGAAGGCAGCUUACUAAGCAAACAUUGACGCUGAGGCACGAAAGCGUGGGGAUCAAACA
Molecule: ribosomal RNA, 422 nt
Filed under: uncultured bacterium
Lineage: Bacteria
Also listed under: 2 other names
Description: bacterial SSU rRNA
Rfam family: Bacterial small subunit ribosomal RNA
Source: RNAcentral